Molecule: ribosomal RNA, 252 nt
Filed under: uncultured bacterium
Lineage: Bacteria
Description: partial 16S ribosomal RNA
Rfam family: Bacterial small subunit ribosomal RNA
Source: RNAcentral
UACGUAGGUCCCGAGCGUUGUCCGGAUUUAUUGGGCGUAAAGCGAGCGCAGGUGGUUUAUUAAGUCUGGUGUAAAAGGCAGUAGCUCAACCAUUGUAUGCAUUGGAAACUGGUAGACUUGAGUGCAGGAGAGGAGAGUGGAAUUCCAUGUGUAGCGGUGAAAUGCGUAGAUAUAUGGAGGAACACCGGUGGCGAAAGCGGCUCUCUGGCCUGUAACUGACACUGAGGCUCGAAAGAGUGGGGAGCAAACAGG